ACAAACCUAUAGUCCCUAUCUUGUACGUAACCCGGGGACUGCCUGUACUAAUACGUGAGCAUUUUAGAUUGAGAACUUCUCAUAUUUUGAAAGUAAAAUUGUGUUGACUCCUAUAUUCAUUACCAAAUAAUGCUUAAAUAAUUCUGUACCUCGUGCUUGAAAUAUUUCAGUCUGUGUAAUAGGCUUACAUAUUUAGGCCUGGUAAGUUGAUGUUGGAUGAAGGAUGAUUUUGUGUUUAAUGGCAUCAAACUGGCAGUCAAAAGACUUCUGUUCCCAGCUCUGCCACAUACUUACUGUGUCAUCUUGUGCAAAUCAGACCUCUUGCUUCAGCUUUUGCCAGUAUGAUAAAAUAUCAUACUGCUGUGUUUGAGGCUUUUUUUCAUAAACUGAUUCCUUUUAAGAUGAGAAUGGGCCAUUAUGGUUUUAAAAUUUCAUCAGUUCCUGCAUGAGACCUAGAAAUUUGUGCUUGAACUAGAGUGUAUUUUUUAGGAAGUCAUCAAACAUUCUUAAUUCAGUUCUGUAAAAUGCAUUAAGAUGCAAAAUAUUAAUAUUACUACUUUACUAUUAUUAUCUGACCUUAAAAAUCUCUUUAUUCCUAUCAUUGUGCUUUUCCAUCCUCAAUUAUGACUUGAUAAUUGUGUUUGCCUCAAACUUAAGAAAUAGAUUUUUAAAAAUGGAUUUCAGAAGUUAUUCCUAAUUUAUAGUUAAAUUGAUUAACAAUUUAUACCUAUUAAAAUAUUUUAAAAAUAGUUUGAACAUUGAUUUCUGGUUCUAGAUGUAGUGGAAUUUCUGCCAGAAUUGAUAUCCGGGGGAGGGGGGUGGGAGGGGAAUGCAUGAUGAUAAACAGUCAUGAUGUUGCUCUCAUAGCUCACAAUUUGCCAAUCUGUAAAUAAAGCACAAUAUAAACCUGAGCACCAACCUCUUCUUUCUGAUGUUACCUUGGACAUUCAAUUCUAGCCAUAAUAUUUCACAAAAUAUCCAUACUUCCUCACUUUUUCCUUUUAGUAGUGCUGUUUAGAUGAUGGUCCAAGGCUGAACAUCAUUUGUUCCAGAAUUUAUACUAGUGCAUUUUUUAUCCCCUGGGAAGUCCAAACACAAACAUGUAUAUGCCUCCAUCCCAAUGCCUUCCCAACAAAAUGUGUAUUUUGACCGUUUCUUUGAAAUAUAUAUUUAAUUUUUUUCUGUUUGUUCUUGGAGUUUUGUUUUGUAAGCUGUUGGGUAAAUCACAUCUAGAUGGACCUAUAAGAUACAAAAACAUUUGUGGCAUAUGCUGCCAUUUUUUUAAAGACGCUUGUGUAUUUUUUGUGGCUGUCUUGAAAUAUUGGCUUAGUUCCUUGUUUUAGACCAAAUUUACAAUUUUGUCCUUACAAGUUGCAUUUUGGAUUAUAGCAGAAGAUUUAAAUAGUUAUUGUGUGCUCAUCUCAUGAUAAAUAAAUGAAUUCUUAUGAAAAGACACAGACUGCAUAUGCUAGUGAAGCAGUGAUAGGAAUAAAGGACUUCACUGCAAUGGAAAUACUUCUUUCAAAAUAUAGGUCAACUGAGAUUUAAAAUUUGGUUUAUUUUUUUCACCCAUCUUCGUUGGCAUAAAUCAUUAUAUGCCUGCUGCUAUAAGUGUGUUCCCUAACUAUUUUCCUUUUCAUGAAAGUGUGUGUGUAUUUUCAAUAUCUCUAAAGCUAUUACAAAUUUUAAAUUACGGAUUUAAGAGAUGGAGGUUCUUUGAAUAAAACUUUUUGAAUUUGUUGAAUGUUACAAAGACAUGCAACACAGCACUUCUUUGCCCUUCACCCAGAACAUUCAUGUCAUGGUUUAAGAAGUUGUAGUCCCACAAAGAUUUUUCAAAUCUGCUGACAUUAUUUUGGAAGAGGAUGUUAGGACAUGGUGUCUGCUUCAAAAUGACAGGUAAGAAAAAACACACAGGAGGGAGUGGGGGAACAUUGAAUGUGUUUGUAUAAAGCAGCAAUAUGAAAAUAUUCUGAAAAUUAUUUUAAUACUUUCACAUUAAAAUGUCCCUAAAUAACUUAAAUAUUUCUUACUUAUAUACAAAUGUCUCAAUUUGUGAUAUACAGAUAAACUCAGAUUAUCUGUAAUCCAGGUUAUCCCAUCAACUGAAAUUUUGUUUCCCCAAAUUUUAUAGUUUUCUGAAAUUCAAAUAAGUCCUCUUAGCCAUUCAGACAUCCAGGGUUCAGUUACACUUAAAUACUUUUUGCAUGCUGGAAACGUGGUGAUAGUUUUGUUUACAUAGUGUUGUUAAAGUGUAAAUAUAAGCUAAUGUUCUCCUAGUCUUUGUCUACAUACAAAUCUUGCAUCAGUUUAACGAAAAUCAGUUUUAAAAUUAAUGCAAAUAGGUACACAAAUUCUCAUAGAAUUACCUCAGUCUCUUUACCAACUACCUUAUAUCAAUAUUGUUUCACUUGGUAAGGGAUUGUUUAAAAUUAUAAUGUAGAAAUCAGUUUUAGGUCAGCUUUGCUGUUUGUAGAGUACUGACUGAGCAGAGAGUGAAGUCCUGGUCAUGACUCGGACACCUAGAUACUACAAAAAUACAAAUAAUUAAUAAUUUAAGUAUGUUCAUGUUUGUGCUAAUUUAAUUAAAUCUAUUUGAAAGCAGACUUUAGGUCAAUCAGUGCAAAUUCUUCUGUUUGUAGAUUACACUUUAGUCUAGGUUUCUGUAACUGAGAAAAACUUAUCCUAAAAUGUACUGAUUUAUGUUUCAUGUGAAUCUAGUUAAGUCACAUCUAUAACUCAGAGUGUUUUCAGGUGAGAGAUUUGCAGGGAGAACGUUGCAUAUUCUCAAACUCCCUCUUUGAGCAACUUUGUAUUUCGUAGCUGACUGGUAAUAUUGUAAAAUAUAGUGUGUGUGUGUGUGUGUGUGUGUGUGUGUGUGUGUGUGUGUGUGUGCGCGCGUGCAGUUAGCAGUUAAGUGCAAAACUGGUAGGUUACACUCAGUGAUUAAUACCAAUCUGAAUGGGGACAAUCUUAUUCAAGAUACCAUUAUCACAGAUUAAUAGCAUGAAAAUCAUAUCAAAUGCUUUUAAAAAAUUCUCUUGAAAGUUCCCUAGUACAUAAGUAAAGUGUAUAAAGAACUGUUAUUGUUAGUUCACACUUCUGUUUUCUAAUAAUUCCAACAUAUAUUUCUAAUGAAUGCUUAAAAAAAUCACGUGGUGAUACAUCAAAGUAUUCCACAGAACAUUUUUUAAAGCAACAGUCUGACUCAAAUUUUAUUUACUCAGUAGAAUAAACCAACAAUUCAGAUUAAUUUCUGCCAAUCUUGAGAUUUAGUAGACCCAGAUCCAAAAUUUACCCUUUCAGACCACUUGUUUCAUAUACAUUUAUUUAAAAUAUAUCUUUGUUAUAUUUAUAGACAGCUUAAAAUUCAUAAAGCUUUCUGUAAAUAUUAUGUCGUGCCAUAUCUUCAUUACACAUCACAUGGCAAAUGGAAAUCUUUGUGAUGCAAACUUAAUUCUUUGCUUUUUCCACUAAUCUGUUAGUCAAUUUUUUUUAAUAGUUUAUUUUUGCUGAUCAGAUCCAAAGCCCAUUGCAUACAAUAGGAGACUUUCCAUUGACUUCAGUGGGCUUUAGAUCAGGCUCUAAAGGUAAAUAGAGUAGUUUUUGCUGAUAUUUGUAAGAUACAUGGUCUGAUAUCUAGAAACACAUUGAUUCCAAGUAAUCAAAUUGUAGGACUUUUCAAACAAUAUUUUUAAUGUCCAAAAAUGUACAGGUUUCUGAAAAUUCAUUUCUGACUUUAAAUCUGCAUUAAGUUGAAUUAUGAUGCAUAAAGCUUUGCAGCUGCUGUGUUUCAGGUUUCAUAAAUAUUUUCAAAUGUAAGUACAACUAUCCUUAAGAAAGUAAUUGCUUUAAAUCCUGGCAUGUCUAAAAUAUGAAUUAAUAAAAGGCUAAAUAUAGUGAAUGAAAUCUUUCCCUUGAACACAGUCUUUUAUUCUUCACUGACAUUUGCUUUAACAUUAUUAAAUCUCCUCCCAUUUCUUCAUUCCUUUAAAGAGUGAUAAUUUUGCAGCUACUGCCUAAUUUGUGAACUGAAAACUAUAAAAUAGAUGGAAAAUGCCUUUUCAACUUGUGAGCUCUUUUCUGACAAUAAAACUGCCUUAUAACCAUUUUAAUUUUGGAUUUUACUGUGCAAUAAAGUUUUAAUUAUUUUUGUAAAUACCCCGCCUUCUUUGCUGUCUGCAGUGAUUAUAUUUGUUAUUCUUAGGGAACAAACUAUGCUUGUUUUAUUAACCGUAAUGCACCAGUUGGUUUCAGGAGGAUCUAAUCAUGUUUAAAUUGAGCAGGAUUUAGCUCUGAAAGAAUAAGAAAAACUCACGUAAAAGUGAUAGAAAGCUAAAGAAAGCAAAGUCAUUUGUUGACAUUUUUAAAAGUGUAUAUCAUUGAAUUUUUUUAUUGUUACUUCAGCAACCAGCAUUGUUUUCUGUUACCUUUUGCUAGGAAGUCAUUGGGCAAAUACGAACACAGCUGUACGGAAUAUCUGCCUGAAGGUUUCUUUGGGAUAAUAUCUCUUUCCACAAAAACAUAAUCACAAAGGAGGAUGUCUUGAGUGCAUCUCAAAAAUGGAAUUCUUCCUUUCUGAGUGCUGGAUAGUGGGUUAAAAUUAAAAUGCUAAAAUGCAGAUGAAGAUUGGUUUAAAAACAAGUGCUGCUCUUUCUUAGGAGUACAGACGGUCAAGGUCAUGAAGCAAUUUUUUAAACUUUCAGGUUGGAAAAAGACAGCAAAGUUGUCCAUCUUCACCCUGAGAAAUACUGUGCCGAGUAUUGUGCAGCAAACAUGCUGAUGUUUCCCUGGUCUAAAGGAGACAGCUGAAGUGUGUCUGUCACUUUCAACUUCUUCCAAAAAAUACUCUUCGGGGGCGGGAAAAAAGCCAGCUAUUUUCAAAUAAAAUGGUGCCAAAUCAA
Molecule: non-coding RNA, 4904 nt
Organism: Pelodiscus sinensis (Chinese soft-shelled turtle)
Lineage: Eukaryota; Metazoa; Chordata; Testudines; Trionychidae
Source: RefSeq, a predicted model, not a curated record